GGAGAAGGGGUGUGGCUGAGCCCUAGAGUAUCUGCUUGGCACCCAGAAGGUCCCAGGUUCAAUCCCUGGCCUGUCCA
This 77-nucleotide transfer RNA is filed under the name Sphaerodactylus townsendi. Its description in RNAcentral is "tRNA-Ala". It matches the Rfam family "tRNA". From Rfam's summary of the family: Transfer RNA (tRNA) molecules are approximately 80 nucleotides in length. Their secondary structure includes four short double-helical elements and three loops (D, anti-codon, and T loops). The record is from RNAcentral. Lineage: Eukaryota; Metazoa; Chordata; Lepidosauria; Squamata; Sphaerodactylidae.